GUGGUUUAAUUCGAAGCAACGCGCAGAACCUUACCAGUCCUUGACAUGGGGAGUUUGGUUUCCGGAGACGGAUUCCUUCAGUUCGGCUGGCUCCCACACAGGUGCUGCAUGGCUGUCGUCAGCUCGUGUCGUGAGAUGUUCGGUUAAGUCCGGCAACGAGCGCAACCCACAUCCUUAGUUGCCAGCAGUUCGGCUGGGCACUCUAGGGAAACUGCCCGUGAUAAGCGGGAGGAAGGUGUGGAUGACGUCAAGUCCUCAUGGCCCUUACGGGUUGGGCUACACACGUGCUACAAUGGCAUCUACAGUGGGCAGCUAUCACGCGAGUGUGAGCUAAUCUCCAAAAGAUGUCUCAGUUCGGAUUGUUCUCUGCAACUCGAGAGCAUGAAGGCGGAAUCGCUAGUAAUCGCGGAUCAGCAUGCCGCGGUGAAUACGUUCCCAGGCCUUGUACACACCGCCCGUCACACCAUGGGAGUGGGUUGCAAAAGAAGUGGGUAGCAUAACCUUCGGGAGUGCGCUCACCACUUUGUGAUUCAUGACUGGGGUGAAGUCGGAACAAGGUAGCCGUAGGGGGACCUGCGGCUGGAUCACC
RNAcentral lists this ribosomal RNA (589 nucleotides) under Pteridomonas danica. RNAcentral describes it as "partial Bacterial small subunit ribosomal RNA". It matches the Rfam family "Bacterial small subunit ribosomal RNA", at positions 941 to 1527 of the family's 1533-position model. The record is from RNAcentral. Lineage: Eukaryota; Dictyochophyceae; Pedinellales.